GAUGAACGCUGGCGGCGUGCUUAACACAUGCAAGUCGAACGAAGCACCUUGAUUUGAUUCUUCGGAUGAAGAUCUUGGUGACUGAGUGGCGGACGGGUGAGUAACGCGUGGGUAACCUGCCUCAUACAGGGGGAUAACAGUUAGAAAUGACUGCUAAUACCGCAUAAGACCACAGCACCGCAUGGUGCAGGGGUAAAAACUCCGGUGGUAUGAGAUGGACCCGCGUCUGAUUAGGUAGUUGGUGGGGUAACGGCCUACCAAGCCGACGAUCAGUAGCCGACAUGAGAGGGUGACCGGCCACAUUGGGACUGAGACACGGCACAAACUCCUACGGGAGGCAGCAGUGGGGAAUAUUGCACAAUGGGGGAAACCCUGAUGCAGCGACGCCGCGUGAGCGAUGAAGUAUUGCGGUAUGUAAAGCUCUAGCAGCAGGGAAGAAAAUGACGGUACCUGACUAAGAAGCACCGGCUAAAUACGUG
Molecule: ribosomal RNA, 479 nt
Filed under: uncultured bacterium
Lineage: Bacteria
Description: partial 16S ribosomal RNA
Rfam family: Bacterial small subunit ribosomal RNA
Source: RNAcentral